Molecule: non-coding RNA, 340 nt
Organism: Pelobates cultripes (western spadefoot toad)
Lineage: Eukaryota; Metazoa; Chordata; Amphibia; Anura; Pelobatidae
Source: the annotation of a GenBank genome assembly
UAUAUAUAUCUAUAUAUUUUAAUUGGGGGAGCCCCCAAAAUAUUGGGCUAAUAAAAAAAGACAACUCUGUUCCGCAGAGUAGCUGUUGACAUUAUAGUUGCGCAGGAAGUUUGUUGACUCUAGAGAACCUCGGGCAAAUCACACAUCUCCGUGGUGGCGACUUUGCAUGCGGAUGUCAUCCAUAUCAACUUUCGAUGCCAGUUUCUGCGCCUACCAUGGUGACCAUGGAUAACGGGUAAUUGGGGUUCUAUUCCAUACAGGGACCCUGAGAAAUAGCUACCACAUGCAAGGAAGGCAGCAGGCGUGCAAAUGACCCACUCCCGACGCGGGAAGGUAGUGA